Molecule: ribosomal RNA, 254 nt
Filed under: uncultured bacterium
Lineage: Bacteria
Description: partial 16S ribosomal RNA
Rfam family: Bacterial small subunit ribosomal RNA
Source: RNAcentral
UACGUAGGGUGCGAGCGUUAAUCGGAAUUACUGGGCGUAAAGCGUGCGCAGGCGGUUAUUUAAGUCAGGUGUGAAAGCCCUGGGCUUAACCUAGGAAUUGCGCUUGAGACUGGAUAGCUUGGAGUGCGGCAGAGGGGGAUGGAAUUCCGCGUGUAGCAGUGAAAUGCGUAGAUAUGCGGAGGAACACCGAUGGCGAAGGCAAUCCCCUGGGCCUGCACUGACGCUCAUGCACGAAAGCGUGGGGAGCAAACAGG